CAAAAUAAGUACAGAAGUGGACACUGUCGAAAUAAAACCGUAAAAAUCAAAAAGUCCAAAUAAAACAGUAAAACCAAAGCAAAAAAAGUCUAUUGAGUUAAUUGGUUCGUCAAUCAAAAGUAAGUCACGUGACAAUUCAGACUCGAGUGAUUGGCUCAGUUCUGGAACCAUGUGACCACGGAGUGUGCUUCCACAGACAGCAUGCUCAACUACAUUUAAAACAUGCAAAUGUUUUCUGAGAUGUAAGAACUGCUCGGGUUCUUUAAAGAUGUUUUGCUUCAUAACUUCUAAGAAGAUGUGUGUGAGUGUUACCCGUGGCUUUUUCUCCAAACUUGCAUUUGAAACUCAAUCUAAACGUCUUGCUGCUGUCCAACAGAUGAUCAUAAAUCCUGCUUUGACCUUCUGGAAAUCUUACAAACAAGGAGGAUUUGCUGGAGCUCAGGUGUACUGUAUGUGCAGCAGUUUUCAAUCUCACGAAGAUUAAAGCUGUGACUCGUUUGUCAUUUCAGACAUGAAGCUGCAUCUCCUGAUGAAACUGUUCUCUUUUAUUCUGUCUGAUUGUGCAUCAAAGAUAAUAGUCUUUGAGAACCUGCUGGUGUUUAUAACGGCUGUAGUUUUAGUUCACAUGAAUUCAGAUCUACCUGCUGCUAGUUUUAUUCUGAGUGAUCAAAUAAAAACCUUUUUUUCCCCUCA
Molecule: long non-coding RNA, 693 nt
Organism: Cyprinus carpio carpio
Lineage: Eukaryota; Metazoa; Chordata; Actinopteri; Cypriniformes; Cyprinidae
Source: Ensembl